AAGACUAUAGACCUGCGGAGUACCUGCGGAAGGAUCAUUACCGAGUGCGGGUUCUAACGAGCCCAACCUCCCACCCGUGUUUACCGUUACCGCGUUGCCUCGGCGGGCCCACUGGGGCCUGGCCCCGGUCGCCGGGGGGCAGAUGCCCCCGGGCCAGUGCCCGUCGAAGCGCCUGGAACCCUGUCUGAAUAGUGAGUCUGAGUAAUGAUUGAAUCAUUAAAACUUUCAACAACGGAUCUC
Molecule: unclassified non-coding RNA, 240 nt
Filed under: soil metagenome
Description: partial contains 5.8S ribosomal RNA, internal transcribed spacer 2, and large subunit ribosomal RNA
Source: RNAcentral